This is a long non-coding RNA of Cynoglossus semilaevis (tongue sole), 1480 nucleotides long. RefSeq lists it as uncharacterized. The record is from RefSeq and is a predicted model, not a curated record. NCBI's taxonomy places the organism in Eukaryota, Metazoa, Chordata, Actinopteri, Pleuronectiformes, Cynoglossidae. The transcript has 3 exons.
AAGUAGUCAAAAACCAGGUUGUGACAUAAGUAGCUGAAAGUACAAAAAAGCUUAGUUAAGUAAAAUGGCAAAUAUUAUAAUUAAAUAAAGCCUAAAUGAGUCAAAUGUACCAAGUGAAUACAUUUACUAAAAGAAAAGUAUUAUAUUAUUUAUCUAAUACUUAUUUCUUAUUUAACAUCAGCAAACACCAGCUUUUGCUACCUCUGAAUACACUGACUAUGGUGUGUUGAGUCAUGAUCACAGGUUUUUAAAGAAGAGUCUCUCCACUGUGUCUGUAAAAGGAAGGAUCAUCAAAGUGUGUCUGGUCGUUUCCUGAACUGUUCAAAUACCGUUUAUUAUUGACUGUUCUUAACAGUCCAUGAGAAAAGGUUAGCUAAGGUCAUGUUUUCAUGUUACCAACAGAAACAGAAAUGUUGUGGCUGAACCUCAGCUGUUUGUUCUGUUAUCGACCUGUCACCAAACUAAACCCUUUUCGAGGUCAACACUGGGUGGAACAGUAAAUCAGAGUUUUCAAAUGGUGGUAGAAUGGAGGCGUUGCUGGUGGUGGUCACCAGCAGGUGGCAGCAGUCAACAGAGACGGUUUGACCUUAUGUCCCGAGUUGAGAACAUCUCUGAUCUCUGUCUCCAGAUAAACACCGGGAACUUUGAAGAUGGAGACCACUGUGCAUGAUGGGAGUUGGGAGUGUGUUAAAGUACGGGUGCUGCAGAGCUUCCUGGGCCGAGAUCCGCUCUGAGGGAACCAACAUCAGCAGUCUCUGGACCAGGCCCUCGGUCUUGAUUGGGAGCUGAUUCAAUCUAUUCCAGAUAAACUACACAUUUAGAAAGCUAUUUUUGCAGUAUCUUAAGCAGAGCUACUAUUAGCAUGUGCUAAAAUGGCUAGCGUGAUAUGUAUUUAUCAUUGUUCUCUUAUGUCCAGGAGUUUGUUUUUAACUGUGAAUACAGAGAAAUAGAUGAAAGUUAGACAAACAACAUGGGAGUUUAAAAUAAUAAUAAUAAUAAUAAUACAUGUAUUGGGAAACAUGAUAUAUUUUUUAAACAACCCAUUAAUGAUGGACUUCUAAACCGGUAGGGGUUAUUAACAUUAAGUUAUUUAGUUAAAAGAUAAUGAACUUAACUUUUAUUACAUAUCCAAAUGCUGAAAGUUUGAGGCAAAGUGGCUAAAAAUUGGCAAAAAUAUGGCAAAUGUAGAGCCUAGCUUUACAAACGGUGGAGUAAAAUUAGUAAAUAUUACAUUUAGAUGAAGACAUACCAGGAAUUUUUUUUUAAAAUAUUUCAACAGUUUGCAGACAUAGCUAAAUAUUUUUAACAAAGUGACCUAAAAAUAACCUUUAUAGCUAACAUUAAGCUAACUACCUGUUGACUUACCUUUUCCAAACAGUUCUGAACUGUUUUGGCUCAGAGUGAUAGAACUUUUCUACAAAGGAAAACAAAAGAUUAAUUAAUAAUAAAAAUAAAGAAAUCAUUCUUGUUUUUGUUUUUU